GCCCGCCUAGCUCAAUCGGAUAGAGUGUCAGACUCUUAAAAUAAGUCCCCUUGUUUAAUCUGAAGGCUGCGAGUUCGACCCUCGCGGUGGGCU
Non-coding RNA from Macrolepiota fuliginosa MF-IS2, 93 nucleotides. The record is from the annotation of a GenBank genome assembly. Lineage: Eukaryota; Fungi; Basidiomycota; Agaricomycetes; Agaricales; Agaricaceae.